Molecule: ribosomal RNA, 325 nt
Filed under: Klebsiella pneumoniae
Lineage: Bacteria; Pseudomonadati; Pseudomonadota; Gammaproteobacteria; Enterobacterales; Enterobacteriaceae
Description: bacterial LSU rRNA
Rfam family: Bacterial large subunit ribosomal RNA
Source: RNAcentral
UCGACCCCUAAGGCGAGGCCGAAAGGCGUAGUCGAUGGGAAACAGGUUAAUAUUCCUGUACUUGGUGUUACUGCGAAGGGGGGACGGAGAAGGCUAUGUUAGCCGGGCGACGGUUGUCCCGGUUUAAGCAUGUAGGCUGGUUAUCCAGGCAAAUCCGGAUAAUCAAGGCUGAGGUGUGAUGACGAGGCACUACGGUGCUGAAGUAACAAAUGCCCUGCUUCCAGGAAAAGCCUCUAAGCAUCAGGUAACAUCAAAUCGUACCCCAAACCGACACAGGUGGUCAGGUAGAGAAUACCAAGGCGCUUGAGAGAACUCGGGUGAAGGA